UGAUGUUAUUUAUCAUGGGUUUUGCUGCAAUGCUUCCCAAAUUCUAUAAGUUUUUUCAUCCUUGAAAUACUUGCCGUUAGUUUCCAAAUAAACAAUGUAGAUUGCUUGCUAAAUCACUAUUGAUAAUCAAUUUUGAGUGAUAGAAUUAGCGGCAAGUACUGAAAUUAUGAAUGAGUUGAAAGGCAGGUAUAUUAGCAUGCCAAUUACUAAUUGCAAACCUAGUUUUGUUUAUUUAAUACUAUUGCCACUAUUUCCAUCUCAUUCCAAACAAGCUAGGAAACUCAAGGUUCUCAAAAAGCUCGGUUGAUCUAGGUAAAUGACGACCUACCAAGUUUGAUCAAAUGAGGUUUGGAUGCGUGUAGAAAUGUACCACCGACAUUAAGCUAGCAGGUAAAGUACGGAUUGGACGGAAGAUAGAGAGUAGUGUGGAUUUAAGUGCUUUA
RNAcentral lists this long non-coding RNA (443 nucleotides) under Phoenix dactylifera (date palm). Its description in RNAcentral is "long non-coding RNA (PDAC_LNC002039)". Lineage: Eukaryota; Viridiplantae; Streptophyta; Magnoliopsida; Arecales; Arecaceae. The record is from RNAcentral.